GGGUUGCCUGACUCCGUCUAAAUCAGCCUUUGAUGUAAUUUGGAGACGCGGGAGCAAUUGGCUGUGCUUUGCGCACUAAACGCAUCGCGCGACCCCCUCAUGGCAGCCCCUCGGCAAGCACACUGGGCGUCGGAAGGCGCGUGUCACCGCGCGCCCCAUUCUAUUUGAUUUUCUGCUUUUCAUGUUUAUACAGUUCGACUUUACUAGUCGUCGCAAUGCGCAGGUAUCCGCGCCAGCGACCGCCUAACCAAGCGGGAGCGGCACAGCCAGUUUGACUCCCUCCAUCGGUGGCACCUCUUUCCACGAGUGUUCCCGACGACCGUCGAAAUCCCCCGAGUCGCCUUCCCUCCGGAUCAUCUCGAGGGGCAUGCAGAGGAUCCGAGGCUCCUUCUCUGUCCUCGCCGGAGGACCUUCGACUUGCAGCCUCAGUUCGUCACAUGCAAACAAAAUCUCCACUUUUUGAAAGAGAACAACAGAAGGUUGUGCCAGCAGGCGUUGAUGGUGGAGGCUCUCAACUCAUACAGUGACUCUUUGAUUGUGCUGAUGCAGUGCGCUAUGAUGAAUUCCUGCCAACACUGCCCGACGUGGCUGAUCCUUCCUGCAACUUGCCAUUCUCUCCUGAAACCGAACCUUCGCUUCGACGUGUGCAGGUCGCAUUGUGGACAGGGCGCGGACGACAACACCCGGAAAGAAUACGAUUGCCCCACUUCAAAAGGGACACACUCCUGA
Molecule: long non-coding RNA, 729 nt
Filed under: Eptatretus burgeri (inshore hagfish)
Lineage: Eukaryota; Metazoa; Chordata; Myxini; Myxiniformes; Myxinidae
Description: lncRNA (ENSEBUG00000017241.1)
Source: RNAcentral